GAUGAACGCUGGCGGCGUGCCUAAUACAUGCAAGUCGAGCGAACGGACGAGAAGCUUGCUUCUCUGAUGUUAGCGGCGGACGGGUGAGUAACACGUGGAUAACCUACCUAUAAGACUGGGAUAACUUCGGGAAACCGUAGCUAAUACCGGAUAAUAUUUUGAACCGCAUGGUUCAAAAGUGAAAGACGGUCUUGCUGUCACUUAUAGAUGGAUCCGCGCUGCAUUAGCUAGUUGGUAAGGUAACGGCUUACCAAGGCAACGAUGCAUAGCCGACCUGAGAGGGUGAUCGGCCACACUGGAACUGAGACACGGUCCAGACUCCUACGGGAGGCAGCAGUAGGGAAUCUUCCGCAAUGGGCGAAAGCCUGACGGAGCAACGCCGCGUGAGUGAUGAAGGUCUUCGGAUCGUAAAACUCUGUUAUUAGGGAAGAACAUAUGUGUAAGUAACUGUGCACAUCUUGACGGUACCUAAUCAGAAAGCCACGGCUAACUACGUGCCAGCAGCCGCGGUAAUACGUAGGUGGCAAGCGUUAUCCGGAAUUAUUGGGCGUAAAGCGCGCGUAGGCGGUUUUUUAAGUCUGAUGUGAAAGCCCACGGCUCAACCGUGGAGGGUCAUUGGAAACUGGAAAACUUGAGUGCAGAAGAGGAAAGUGGAAUUCCAUGUGUAGCGGUGAAAUGCGCAGAGAUAUGGAGGAACACCAGUGGCGAAGGCGACUUUCUGGUCUGUAACUGACGCUGAUGUGCGAAAGCGUGGGGAUCAAACAGGAUUAGAUACCCUGGUAGUCCACGCCGUAAACGAUGAGUGCUAAGUGUUAGGGGGUUUCCGCCCCUUAGUGCUGCAGCUAACGCAUUAAGCACUCCGCCUGGGGAGUACGACCGCAAGGUUGAAACUCAAAGGAAUUGACGGGGACCCGCACAAGCGGUGGAGCAUGUGGUUUAAUUCGAAGCAACGCGAAGAACCUUACCAAAUCUUGACAUCCUUUGACAACUCUAGAGAUAGAGCCUUCCCCUUCGGGGGACAAAGUGACAGGUGGUGCAUGGUUAUCGUCAGCUCGUGUCGUGAGAUGUUGGGUUAAGUCCCGCAACGAGCGCAACCCUUAAGCUUAGUUGCCAUCAUUAAGUUGGGCACUCUAAGUUGACUGCCGGUGACAAACCGGAGGAAGGUGGGGAUGACGUCAAAUCAUCAUGCCCCUUAUGAUUUGGGCUACACACGUGCUACAAUGGACAAUACAAAGGGCAGCGAAACCGCGAGGUCAAGCAAAUCCCAUAAAGUUGUUCUCAGUUCGGAUUGUAGUCUGCAACUCGACUACAUGAAGCUGGAAUCGCUAGUAAUCGUAGAUCAGCAUGCUACGGUGAAUACGUUCCCGGGUCU
RNAcentral lists this ribosomal RNA (1372 nucleotides) under uncultured bacterium. Its description in RNAcentral is "bacterial SSU rRNA". It matches the Rfam family "Bacterial small subunit ribosomal RNA", at positions 28 to 1381 of the family's 1533-position model. The record is from RNAcentral.